UUCCCAUGGAGGAGCCAUGGUUUGCAUUUAUGUCACACACCACACAACUUGCACAGCUUAAUCAACACUGAUUACCAAGUGAGUGCAAGAUGAAAGGUUCAAAACCACAUGGUGGGAGGCAGGCAGCUGGGCUACAUCUACCACAACGUCCGGCACGGAUCUGCAUAGACCUGGUAAGUCCCGCCCCUUCCGCUAACCCCGCUGGACCUCUAGGUUGAAAAAUCAUUAACGCAAGUGUCACAGUGCAAAGUAUCAUGUUUCACGUUUGUAGUGUUUUAAUGCAUUUAUUUGUGUCCUGUGUGCUGUGUUUUGUUUUGCUUUGACGUGUGGACUUUGAUAUUCCCGUCACGGCUGUCCCAAAUCAAACUGACAAUUAACAAAGACUCAAAAACUCACAAUCGAACCUAUAGGAAGGGGGCUACUUAAUUUAAUGAGGGGGAACAGGUGUGUGGGAGUUUUUCUCCCUAUAUUUGCAGGAUCGACAGACACAGAGCAGGUAUCAAGUCAGGCGGAGAACUGCAAAAGACACAGUGGCCGAGCCAGAGGUGGCCGAGCCAGAGGUGGCCUACCCAGCCGGACACACAGCAGAGCAGUUCCAGGAUUUCGGCAUCCACGCAAAAGCUAUAUUCCGGGUGGCAGAUUUGGUCUGCACCCGGCAAUGUGAGUAGCUCCUUUUUGCCUCGAACAACAUAACGUGUGUUAGUAGUGGUAGUUUGCUCCGUACUGCCCAAAGUCUCCCUUGUUUCAGCUGAGCGAUUGCAUCGCUGCUGGUGAUCGGGUGGAGAGCUGAGUAGCCUGUGGAGGACUUACGGGAAGGCAGUGAGUUGUGAGGACUGCUUCCCUGAGAACACUGAGUGCAUUCUGGAAUAUUCCAAAUGUGUGCCACUUCCAUACAGAAGAAGUUUCAAUCCCGCAAGAGUUCACUCACCAGUGGGCUCCAUCAACAGACCAGGGCAAAGUCGGUCUGUCCUGCUGCUACUACUACAUGCUACUUGACUAUGUCUGGAAGCCAUGGCUGCUGCCCUCAACAUGCUAAACUGAAACCCUUACAAAUAAACUGAUAUCAAUAAUUAACAUUGAUGGUGGCAAGGGUGCCUUCAUAAGGUGCCAUCCAGCAAGUCCCAGCCUGGAGCCAGAGGCUGGCACUGCACGUCAGAUGGGGGGAGGAUCUAUGUCAGAAAGGUGGUUUAAGCAAGAAGGAAAGAGCUUCUGCAGACAGUGUUGCAAUUAGAAGAGUACGGACAAGGGCCCAAAAUGUUUUAAAGGACGUUGCCCGCCCAGACCAUGGACUGUUUAAACCACUGUGGUCAAGCAGAAGUCUCUGUUCUCACUCGAGGCAGGUCAUUGAGAGGGGGCGAGUGUCACUGCGUAAGCCCCCUACUGCAGGCGAGAAAGCCAUGUUGAUUUGAAUAUUGAUUGAUAAAUACAAUAAAGGCCAUGUAACAAA
This is a long non-coding RNA of Alosa alosa (allis shad), 1447 nucleotides long. RefSeq lists it as uncharacterized. NCBI's taxonomy places the organism in Eukaryota, Metazoa, Chordata, Actinopteri, Clupeiformes, Clupeidae. The transcript is spliced from 6 exons. The record is from RefSeq and is a predicted model, not a curated record.